UACGGGGGGGGCAAGCGUUGUUCGGAAUUACUGGGCGUAAAGGGCUUGUAGGCGGCCAACUAAGUCAUACGUGAAAUCCCUCAGCUUAACUGGGGAACUGCGUGUGAUACUGGAUGGCUUGGAUUUGGGAGAGGGAUGCGGAAUUCCAGGUGUAGCGGUGAAAUUCGUAGAUAUCCAGAGGAACACCGGUGGCGAAGGCGGCCUCCUGGACGAGAACUGACGCUGAGACGCGGAAGCGUGGGGAGCAAACAGG
Molecule: ribosomal RNA, 253 nt
Filed under: uncultured bacterium
Lineage: Bacteria
Description: partial 16S ribosomal RNA
Rfam family: Bacterial small subunit ribosomal RNA
Source: RNAcentral